Molecule: long non-coding RNA, 194 nt
Organism: Mauremys reevesii (Reeves's turtle)
Lineage: Eukaryota; Metazoa; Chordata; Testudines; Geoemydidae
Exons: 3
Source: RefSeq, a predicted model, not a curated record
UAUAACUUUAGAAAACUGAUAUGGCCUGAAUAUUGUCAGAUUUAACUCUGAAUGCAAAGGAUAAAUGUUUCUGAUAAGUCUGAUGAAAGCUGACUUCAUGAAAAUAAAUUAAUCCUUCUUUAAUGGCCAUGUUACCAAUGAGUUCUGUGGCUCAUUGAUUACAAGCCAUCUCCUGCAGUCCUUGACUUCCCUCG